Molecule: long non-coding RNA, 194 nt
Organism: Telopea speciosissima
Lineage: Eukaryota; Viridiplantae; Streptophyta; Magnoliopsida; Proteales; Proteaceae
Exons: 3
Source: RefSeq, a predicted model, not a curated record
CAAGAGUUGUUCAUCAUCAUCAAACCCUAGCUUUCUGCAACAGGGGAGUGAAUCCACUGCAAAAGUUGUUCCCUUCCUUACACGAAUCAAGACCCACUUCAGAGAACAUCUUCGAGAACUCAUCCAACUCCAACCUCCUGAACCUUUGUUCAUCCUUCUCAAAAACCUUCAGAAGCUCUUUAAAAAAUCCCACU